This 537-nucleotide ribosomal RNA is filed under the name Triticum aestivum (bread wheat). Its description in RNAcentral is "partial small subunit ribosomal RNA". The record is from RNAcentral. Lineage: Eukaryota; Viridiplantae; Streptophyta; Magnoliopsida; Poales; Poaceae.
AUGGCUUCAGCAGGCCUCGCUCUCAAGGCGACCGCCAUCGCUGCCGUCCUUGCCAUGCUGGUCAUACCUUCAUCGGGCAGCUAUCCGUUGCCGGGGCCGGAACCACCAUCACCGGCCCCGGAAACGGCGCACUGGCCCGAGCCGACACCGCCACUGCCAGCGCCAGGGCCGUCGCCGUGGCCGGAGGUGGCACCAUGCAUGGCCGACUGCUACUUGGAUAAUUCGUGCAUAUCCGAGUGCUCAGGCUCCAUCAACCUGAUCUGCACCGUUUGCCAACUGAUGGAGGGUCCUCACUGCGGCGAGUGUAUGGUCGGCGAGUUCGACAGGUGCACAGCCAGCUGCACCGGCGGCAGCUGUGACUACUGCGGCGACGCCGCCCGCAGUGCAUGCGCCACCGCCUGUUCCUUCGAGGAAUGCAACUCGUGCAGGCAGGGGCGUCGCGAGGCGUGCAUGGCCAAGUGCGGCUCGCCGGCCGAUUGCUACACCUGCUUUCGCUCAUGGUCGUCACCGUCGCCAUCGCCGCCGCCGUCGUGGUAG